Molecule: ribosomal RNA, 250 nt
Filed under: uncultured bacterium
Lineage: Bacteria
Description: partial 16S ribosomal RNA
Rfam family: Bacterial small subunit ribosomal RNA
Source: RNAcentral
UAGGGAAUUUUCCACAAUGGGCGAAAGCCUGAUGGAGCAACACCGCGUGCAGGAUGAAGGCCUUCGGGUUGUAAACUGCUUUUAUAAGUGAAGAUUAUGACGGUAACUUAUGAAUAAGGAUCGGCUAACUCCGUGCCAGCAGCCGCGGUCAUACGGAGGAUCCAAGCGUUAUCCGGAAUUACUGGGCGUAAAGAGUUGCGUAGGCGGCAGAGUAAGUAGUGCGUGAAAUGACGGGGCUCAACCCCGUGUC